GGCUCUUUGAAAUUAUUAUAUAUAAAGAGUCAAGCCUGCCCAGUGAUAUAUUAUUUAACGGCCGCAGUAUUUUGACUGUGCAAAGGUAGCAUAAUCAUUUGCCCUAUAAUUGAGGGCUUGUAUGAAUGGUUCGACAAGAACAAAACUGUCUCUAAUUAAUCUUUUUAAAUUAACUUUUAGGUGAAGAGGCCUAAAUUAAACUAAAAGACGAGAAGACCCUAUUGAGCUUUAAAAAUCAUUUAGAAAAACUAAUAAUAAAUUUUUGGUUGGGGCGACCGAGGAACAAUUAAAGCUUCCUUAAAUUUAAAAACCUUCAAGUAUUGAUCCAAUAAUAUUGAUCAAAAAAAUAAGUUACCAUAGGGAUAACCAGCGUAAUUUUCUUUGAGAGUUCAUAUUAAAAAGAAACUUUGCGACCUCGAUGUUGGACUAGAGAGUAUCCUAAAGAUGUAGAAGUCUUUAAGGGUUGGUCUGUUCGACCAUUAAAACUUU
RNAcentral lists this ribosomal RNA (489 nucleotides) under Alvania wangi. RNAcentral's name for it is "Alvania sp. w BX-2022 partial large subunit ribosomal RNA". It matches the Rfam family "Bacterial large subunit ribosomal RNA", at positions 1817 to 2597 of the family's 2925-position model. The record is from RNAcentral. Lineage: Eukaryota; Metazoa; Mollusca; Gastropoda; Littorinimorpha; Rissoidae.